GGUGGGGGGGGGGGGUGGGUGGGUGUGGUUUUUGGUGUGUGGUGGGGGGAAAGAAGAAAAUUACAUAAAGAAUGUAACAUUUUAUAUCUUCCUAAAGCAUCAAAGAAAAGAAGGCCUCGCAUAGAAACUUAUCCAUAUACACAAACAGAAACUUCCUAGAGAAUGGAUUUAACCACCUGACAUCUAUUCCUCUUUUGCUCUUUGAUUCUUUGUUAGGGAACAAUUAGGAGGAUUGAAAAUAGCUUUUCUCAUCUUGUUAGGAUAGGAGGGAUUGAAAAUGGUAUGAAAAUUGUUUUAUGAUGGAAAAAUUACAAGUUUAUCUUUCAUCUUUAUCAGGAUGCUAAUUUCUUCAUUUUACAUCCAUUUUCCUUCCAAAAUUUGGAAGAAGAAUUUUGUGGGAUCAAUGCACAACUUUCUCUCCAUUUUCUUAUGCCCCCACUUUCCUUCCUUCUCCAAAAUGGAAAAAUGCAACUAUUCAAAAUUUUCUCCCCCUUUUUCUUUCCUGACAUUUUCCUCUGUCUUGCAUAAUGUAAAAGCAAGGUUUCAAGAUUCAAACCAUGUAAUGGAUUAGCAUGGGCAGUGAUUCUUCAAACAUCUAGCAAAUUCACAAAUAAAAGGAAAUAUAAAAACAAAAACUCUUCAUUCGUAUGAUGUCAGACUGAUUUCUUAUAUCUCAAACAGCACAACUGAUCUUAUAAUUACUUCUAAAACUGUUUAUACAACUUUAUACCUUUGGAAACAAGAGACCUGGUCCACUAGUUGAGUUGAUCAUAAGAACCUCAACAAUCUUCUCAGCAUCGGUAUCACCAUUUUCAUAGUAAUUUCUAUACCUAAAAGGAAUACACCUGCCAAUAUAAUCUGUAGAGUUAGUGACUCGAGAUCAAACAACAGUGAGCUUUUGCACCAUCGAUCAAAAGCAUCAGCAACAUUCUCAGAGCUGAUACAAAAUGUUUUGGCAUAAAUGUUAAGCUUUUCACUAUUUAGCUCCCAACAGCCAGCGAUUCAGCAGACACAAUAUGAAUUCACAGAAAACAAAAGAUAUUACUAUCCAAAAAGAAAAUGUGAAGGAAAAAAAAAGUGACACGUCAAAAUUUCGGGAGAAUACACAAAGAAAUUAAGAAAUUGGCUUAGCUUAAGUAGAAUAAUCUAUCCCCAUCUCGCUGCUAAGCAGAGAGGGCCAUGCACUGUGUAUAACAAUUAAAAAAAUGCCAUACAGAACAAUUACAGGAAUCCUCAACAUGCACAUCCCUUAAUAUUAAGAAAAUAUUAAGAAAUAAACAUUGUUUGAGUAUAGGAUUCGUAUUCCUUUAUAUUUUGCAAUUGGCAAUUAAAAUCAUUCGAAAAUAGAAGAGAAUCAAAUAAGAGAGAGCUUAAGGGGAAGUAAAUAUUAGCAUCUCUAAUGCAGUGAUUUUAAAAUAAAAAAGAGGACUUAGAACAUUUAAGAGAAAUUAGUAACAGUCUAAGGAACACUGCCAUAUCAAAUCCUUUCUAGAAGAAUAUGCUCAACAACUCCUUUCACAACUAAUAUUUGCAAACCCCGCCAAUAGAAUUCAUCCUACAAUCAAUAAUGCAUCACCUCACCAACUAUUCACUUUCAAAGUCAGUGCCCGAAAGAGAGAGAAAAUCAGAGACGAAUGAUAUAAACCGGUCCCACAAAACACCCAUGAGAAGAAAAAUGUAACCAAAAUGGCCAAUUACAUUACGAGAAAAAAAAGAAUGAAUCCCCAUAAAGCUUAAAAAACAAGAGUAUUAGUGGAACACCAGUGUGUACAAAACACCAUUAACCUUUUACUAAGAAAAUCUAAAAGAUAACCCAUUAAGUGAUAAUGGCAUUAUCAAACAUUUGACAACCUCAUAAAUCAUCAUAUCCAAACACAUAUACCUAUACAAAUACGAAUGUACACAUAGAAAUUGUUUGGGAAAACUACGAAGGCAAAUACCCGGCGACAAGGCGACAACCGCCCUCGUACCGCUGCUGAUGUCGACCAGUGCGGCCAACCAAUGCAGACAUGCUAAGGAAUGAAUCCUUUUUCCCUUCCCAAAUGGAGGGGCCCAUUGGUUUGGCCCUGCCUCUACUGCAAAUCUGACAAACUGCUUAUGCAUGCACAGGAUAAAAUCUCCUGCAUUGCUGGUCUCGGCGCCGAUGGUGGAGCUUAACGCAAUGUGACAUGAUCGAAUGGCUGCGAAUUUUUCUCUUUUUGGGUGAUUUCGUUCCUAGGUUUAGUCGCAGAAGAGGGAAAAUAAAAAAAAAAUAUAUUAAAAAAAAGGAGAGAUUUUUUUCACCUUUUGCUUUCAGAUCUUUGGAGAGAAAGUUCAGCUCUUUU
This 2324-nucleotide unclassified non-coding RNA is filed under the name Hevea brasiliensis (rubber tree). The record is from RNAcentral. Lineage: Eukaryota; Viridiplantae; Streptophyta; Magnoliopsida; Malpighiales; Euphorbiaceae.